RNAcentral lists this transfer RNA (67 nucleotides) under Bipes canaliculatus. RNAcentral's name for it is "tRNA-Lys". Lineage: Eukaryota; Metazoa; Chordata; Lepidosauria; Squamata; Bipedidae. The record is from RNAcentral.
CACUAAGAAGCUUCCACAUGCAAGCACUAGCCUUUUAAGCUAGCGAGGGGCACGUGCCCCUUAGUGG